CCCUUAGAUGUUCUGGGCCGCACGCGCGCUACACUGACGAUGGCAACGAGUUUUUCCUUCGCCGAAAGGUGUGGGUAAUCUUUUGAAACAUCGUCGUGCUGGGGAUAGAGCAUUGCAAUUUUUGAUCUUGAACGAGGAAUUCCUAGUAAGCGCGAGUCAUCAGCUCGCGUUGAUUACGUCCCUGCCCUUUGUACACACCGCCCGUCGCUACUACCGAUUGAAUGGUUUAGUGAGGACUCCUGAUUGGCGCCGCCGCCCCGGCAACGGAGCAGCGGACUGCCGAAAAGUUGUUCAAACUUGAUCAUUUAGAGGAAGUAAAAGUCGUAACA
This 329-nucleotide ribosomal RNA is filed under the name uncultured eukaryote. Its description in RNAcentral is "partial 18S ribosomal RNA". It matches the Rfam family "Eukaryotic small subunit ribosomal RNA", at positions 1470 to 1796 of the family's 1831-position model. The record is from RNAcentral.